CUCACCCUGCAGCUCUGGGACAGGAGCCCCAGCCCUGGCAUUCCCAGCUGUCCCCAUUCGGUGAUCAGCACUGAACACAGACACUCACCAUGGGGUCUGGGCUCAGCUGGCUUUUCCUUGUUGCUCUGUUACAAGGUGUCCAGUGUGAGGUGCAGCUGGUGGAGUCUGGGGGAGGCUUGGUCCAGCCUGGGGGGUCCCUGAGACUCUCCUGUGUAGCCUCUGGAUUCACCUUCAGCAGCUCUGACUUGAGCUGGGUCCGCCAGGCUCCAGGGAAGGGGCUGGAGUGGGUGUCAACUAUUUAUAAUGAUGGUAACACAUACUACGCAGACGCCGUGAAGGGCCGAUUCACCAUCUCCAGAGACAACGCCAAGAACACGCUGUCUCUGCAAAUGAACAAUCUGAGAGCCGAUGACACGGCCCUGUACUACUGUGCCAGUGACACAGUGAGGGGACAUCAGUGUGAGCCCAGACACAAACCUCCUGCGGGGUCAGCGCUGGGCCACCAGGGGGCGCCGAAGACCCAAGGAGCAGAAAAAUGGAGGGUGUGA
This is a non-coding RNA of Lemur catta (Ring-tailed lemur), 548 nucleotides long. The record is from the annotation of a RefSeq genome assembly. NCBI's taxonomy places the organism in Eukaryota, Metazoa, Chordata, Mammalia, Primates, Lemuridae.